GACCGCGUAGCUCAGUUGGAAGAGCAUUGGGCUAGUAUUCCAAAGGUCGUAGGUUCGAAUCCCACCGUGGCUG
Molecule: non-coding RNA, 73 nt
Organism: Paramuricea clavata
Lineage: Eukaryota; Metazoa; Cnidaria; Anthozoa; Malacalcyonacea; Plexauridae
Source: the annotation of a GenBank genome assembly